ACGGAAGUGGUGGAAUUGGUGACACGCUAUCUUGAGGGGGUAGUGGCCUUUGGCUGUGCGGGUUCAAGCCCCGCCUUCCGCACCA
RNAcentral lists this transfer RNA (85 nucleotides) under Halieaceae bacterium. Its description in RNAcentral is "tRNA-Leu". It matches the Rfam family "tRNA". From Rfam's summary of the family: Transfer RNA (tRNA) molecules are approximately 80 nucleotides in length. The record is from RNAcentral. Lineage: Bacteria; Pseudomonadati; Pseudomonadota; Gammaproteobacteria; Cellvibrionales; Halieaceae.